CCUGAUCCUUGAUGGGAAUCCUAGCUCUGGUAAGAUUCCUGAUUUCAUCGGGAACUGGAUACAAAUCAACAGACUGCUUAUGCCAGGCACGUCUAUGACGGGACGUAUUCCUUCUAACAUCGCUCUCUUGGUGAAUCUAAUAUGUUCUUCUUUUGUUGCUGCUUUAUUGCUUGGAAUUUCCUUGAAUUUAUACCCAGUCAUGGAAGUAGUAUGAUAUGAAUUACCUUUUUGAAUCCAAUAUGUUUCGAUUUUCUGGAGGAUAUCUGAUUUGAAAAGAUCAAGUAUGUCUUUCCCUUCAUUGGAGAAUAUGGCCAACAUGGAGACAUUGUGAGUUGAAUGGAUAUAACCCUGAUGGUGUAAAUAUAUUAUUUUUUGUUGAUUCUUUUGCUCAUGAAGUGUCUAUCUUGGUUGUGUUCUGCAGGGUACUAAAAUUGCUUGAUUUCUGACGAAAUCCCGUCAUAUAUUUGGAGCAGAACAAGGCAAAUCAAUUUCCUGUAAUUUAUUUUGGACAAAUCUUUUAUAUGUUGGCAUCUACCAGAAAAUCAUUGUUUAUUUUUUGUCACAGACUAGAAGAAAAGCUCUUGGACAUGGAGACCAUGGAUAUUCUAAGGCAGCAGGCCUUGUUAAAAGCACUUGUAAAACACAGGCCGAAACAGCUAUUACAGAAAAAAUGAUCCAUUAUGUAUAGGAAGGUGAUAUUCAUUUUCUUUC
This is a long non-coding RNA of Magnolia sinica, 711 nucleotides long. RefSeq lists it as uncharacterized. Lineage: Eukaryota; Viridiplantae; Streptophyta; Magnoliopsida; Magnoliales; Magnoliaceae. The transcript is spliced from 2 exons. The record is from RefSeq and is a predicted model, not a curated record.